GAUGAACGCUGGCGGCGUGCCUAAUACAUGCAAGUCGAGCGAACAGACGAGGAGCUUGCUCCUCUGACGUUAGCGGCGGACGGGUGAGUAACACGUGGAUAACCUACCUAUAAGACUGGGAUAACUUCGGGAAACCGGAGCUAAUACCGGAUAAUAUAUUGAACCGCAUGGUUCAAUAGUGAAAGACGGUUUUGCUGUCGCUUAUGGAUGGAUCCGCGCCGCAUUAUCUAGUUGGUGGGGUAGCGGCUUACCAAGGCAACGACGCGUAGCCGGCCUGAGAGGGUGAACAGCCACAAGGGGACUGAGAUGCGGGCCAGACUGCUACGGGAGGCAGCGGUGGGGAAUAUUGCACACUGGGCGGAAGCCUGAUGCAGCAACGCCGCGGGCGGGAUGACGGCCUUCGGGUUGUAAACCGCUGUCGCCUGUGAAGAAGCGGGAGUGACGGUAAUGGGUAAAGAAGCACCGGCUAACUACGUG
This 477-nucleotide ribosomal RNA is filed under the name uncultured bacterium. RNAcentral's name for it is "partial 16S ribosomal RNA". It matches the Rfam family "Bacterial small subunit ribosomal RNA", at positions 28 to 507 of the family's 1533-position model. The record is from RNAcentral.